GACGAACGCUGGCGGCAUGCCUAACACAUGCAAGUCGAGCGAGUAGAUCCCUUCGGGGUGAAGCUAGCGUCGGACGGGUGAGUAACACGUGGGCAACCUGCCUCAUAGAGGGGAAUAGCCUUCCGAAAGGAAGAUUAAUACAGCAUAAGAUUGUAGUAACGCAUGGUAUAGCAAUUAAAGGAGUAAUCCGCUAUGAGCUGGGCCCGCGGCGCAUUAGCUAGUUGGUGAGGUAACGGCUCACCAAGGCGACGAUGCGUAGCCGACCUGAGAGGGUGAUCGGCCACAUUGGGACUGAGACACGGCCCAGACUCCUACGGGAGGCAGCAGUGGGGAAUAUUGCACAAUGGGGGAAACCCUGAUGCAGCAAUGCCGCGUGAGUGAUGACGGCCUUCGGGUUGUAAAGCUCUGUCUUCGGGGACGAUAAUGACGGUACCCGAGGAGGAAGCCACGGCUAACUACGUGCCAGCAGCCGCCGUAA
RNAcentral lists this ribosomal RNA (478 nucleotides) under uncultured bacterium. Its description in RNAcentral is "partial 16S ribosomal RNA". It matches the Rfam family "Bacterial small subunit ribosomal RNA", at positions 28 to 523 of the family's 1533-position model. The record is from RNAcentral.